CCUACGGGUGGCAGCAGUGAGGAAUAUUGGUCAAUGUGCGCUAGCCUGAACCAGCCAAGUAGCGUGAAGGAUGACUGCCCUAUGGGUUGUAAACUUCUUUUAUAUGGGAAUAAAGUGCAGUAUGUAUACUGCUUUGCAUGUACCUUAUGAAUAAGGAUCGGCUAACUCCGUGCCAGCAGCCGCGGUAAUACGGAGGAUCUGAGCGUUAUCCGGAUAUAUUGGGUUUAAAGGGAGCGUAGGCGGGUUGUUAAGUCAGUUGUGAAAGUUUGCGGCUCAACCGUAAAAUUGCAGUUGAUACUGGCAUCCUUGAGUACAGUAGAGGUAGGCGGAAUUCGUGGGGUAGCGGUGAAAUGCUUAGAUAUCACGAAGAACGCCGAUUGCGGAGGCAGCCUGCUGGACUGUAACUGACGUUGAGGCACGAAAGCGUGGGGAGCAAACAGGAUUAGAUACCCGAGUAGUC
RNAcentral lists this ribosomal RNA (460 nucleotides) under uncultured bacterium. RNAcentral describes it as "partial 16S ribosomal RNA". It matches the Rfam family "Bacterial small subunit ribosomal RNA", at positions 338 to 795 of the family's 1533-position model. The record is from RNAcentral.